This 328-nucleotide long non-coding RNA is filed under the name Sinocyclocheilus grahami. Its description in RNAcentral is "lncRNA (ENSSGRG00000052939.1)". Lineage: Eukaryota; Metazoa; Chordata; Actinopteri; Cypriniformes; Cyprinidae. The record is from RNAcentral.
GAAUGUGAUAAUUUAUGGAAUUAUCUCUUUAAUGAAGUGAGUCAUGUGGCCUGUGUUUUGCAGUGAAAGAAUAAAGGCAAUGGAGCAGCAGAUAGCCAGUCUUACUGGACUCGUUCAACAUGCUCUUAUGAAAGGGCCAAAUCCAAGUGCCAAAGGGACUUCUAGUGAGAAUCCUGUAAAGAUGGGGUCUCCGACACAGAAUGGUGGCGUCUGUACUGUAACAUCAUCUAAAGACCCGGUUGUGCAGACAGACAGUAUUUCAGCCCAGGUUCAGCCUCCUGUUAGAGACCCUGCUAUAUGCUCAGUCCUCUCCACCUUCAGGAGAAAC